This 62-nucleotide transfer RNA is filed under the name Scutopus robustus. Its description in RNAcentral is "tRNA-Met". Lineage: Eukaryota; Metazoa; Mollusca; Caudofoveata; Limifossorida; Scutopodidae. The record is from RNAcentral.
AAAGAAGUAAGCUAUAUAAGCUGUUGGGUUCAUACCCCAAAAAAGACUUAAGUCCUUUUUUU